CACCUGGUUUAACUUCUGAACUGCUUGUAUUAGAAGCACGCUCAGAUUGUUCAUCUGAAACACCUGGUUUAGCUUCUGCAAUGCUUGGCUCAGGAGGACGCACAGAUUGUUCAUCUGAAGCACUUGGAUUAGCUUCUGAACUGCUUGGUUCAAGAGCAUGCACUGAUUGUUCAUCUGAAACACUUGUUUUAGCUUCUGAACUGCUUGUUCCCACAGGAUGCUUGUGUCCUUCUGAAGCAGGUUUAGUAGUCUCCACAUAUUCACUUGAAAUACUUGAUUGUGCUGUACCUUGAUAAUCACCAUCUUCAUUUUCCAGAGACUGUUUUGGCUUAUUCUUUCUAAAUAUAGCACAUAAAUCAUCGAUUUGUUGAACAAAUUGCUUCAUAUCUCGCGUAAUAGUUUGGCUCAGGACAGACAUUAAAAGGGUGAGAGGACGCAUUUUAGCAAAAGUCUUCCGUCUCUGUAGUGCUGUUUUUAUAAGAAAGAUGUCGAUGAUGUCCUCUGCCCAGUAAACCUGAUGCAGAAGCUUGGUCUCCAAUUCAUCAUCCAUUUUUUGCUUGUAUUCUGGCUGUGUCAAGAGUGUCUGAAGCUCUUUUAAUUUCUCCAUGACAUUGUUAAUUUGCUUCCUCAAUCUUGGAUUAUUAAAUUCUUUAUCAUCGAGGAUAGCAUGUAGUUUUUUCAUCAGAAGGUGCACAGCUGGUAUCGUAGCCAAUGCCAUGACUCUACACUUCUUCAGAAGCCAAAUUCACAACCUGUCAAGCUUUUGAAAUGAUUGGCACUAUUUUUGGGGAGCCUUUGGACUACAAAGAACAAAAUUGCAAAGUAGAAUAGGAAGCGUGAGACUGAUACUGCCAUCCGUCAAUAAAACUUCAACUCACUGGUUUCCUCACUUCUUGUUCUCAACAAGUUUGGAAUCCCAUUAUCACCCAAGUAGCUGCAAUCCUAUACUUUUCUUAUGACAAACAAUUACUUCUAUCAUGAAUUUUGCUUUUUUUGUCAUUCAAUUUACAGCAAGUUUUGUACUUCUUUUGGUGCAGGAUUGUGUUCUACAUCAUUUUUUUUCUUCGAGAAUAAAGCAAAGGAGGGUUUGCCUUGGAUCAAAAGGCAAUACCAGAUGCUUAUCCUCCAUGAUGCUAUUAGUGUGUGUACUUGCUCCUUGGUUGCAAGUUAGGAAUUUCUAUCUUUAAAUAUUUUCUUUGAAGGGCUAACAGUUUCAGUAAUUUUAGUUGCCAUGGAUCAAUGUUCUUUUCUCUUCUUAAUGAAGAAGAAAGAUUCAGGUUUCUUGAAUAGAAAAUACUUCCAUUUUAAGCUUUUGCAAGAUUCGAUUUAAAAUCUCAUUGUCAGCAUAGUGGUGACAAUAUUAUUGAAUGCUUUUCUUGUGGGUGACUUAUGUAUUUCUACACGUCCAACUUAUAACAUUGUCAAUAUUCCCUAAAUAGAGUUUGUGUUUUGUUCAUUUGUUUUUUGGAAUAAAGGAAACAAGAUUUGCCUUUGAUUUACAAAAGGUACAAGAUGCUUUCUUAUGAAUCAUAGUUGUAAGCUCAAGCUAGGCUUGUCUUUGCCAAACACACAGGGUAUUCUCCGUGGCAGCAAGUUUGGAACUUUAAAU
Molecule: unclassified non-coding RNA, 1609 nt
Filed under: Hevea brasiliensis (rubber tree)
Lineage: Eukaryota; Viridiplantae; Streptophyta; Magnoliopsida; Malpighiales; Euphorbiaceae
Source: RNAcentral